AUACGUAGGGGGCGAGCGUUAUCCGGAUUUACUGGGUGUAAAGGGAGCGUAGGUGGCGAAGCAAGUCAGAUGUGAAAGCCCGGGGCUUAACUCCGGGACUGCAUUUGAAACUGUUUUGCUAGAGUGCAGGAGAGGUAAGUGGAAUUCCUAGUGUAGCGGUGAAAUGCGUAGAUAUUAGGAGGAACACCAGUGGCGAAGGCGGCUUACUGGACUGUAACUGACACUGAGGCUCGAAAGCGUGGGGAGCAAACAGGAUUAGAUACCCUGGUAGUCCACGCUGUAAACGAUGAAUACUAGGUGUUGGGGAGCGAAAGCUCUUCGGUGCCGUCGCAAACGCAUUAAGUAUUCCACCUGGGGAGUACGUUCGCAAGAAUGAA
Molecule: ribosomal RNA, 377 nt
Filed under: uncultured bacterium
Lineage: Bacteria
Description: bacterial SSU rRNA
Rfam family: Bacterial small subunit ribosomal RNA
Source: RNAcentral